Cuculus canorus (common cuckoo) is the source of this 2781-nucleotide long non-coding RNA. RefSeq lists it as uncharacterized. The record is from RefSeq and is a predicted model, not a curated record. The transcript has 3 exons. Lineage: Eukaryota; Metazoa; Chordata; Aves; Cuculiformes; Cuculidae.
UUUGUGAUAUGAGGAAGCAUUGCAAAGUAGAAUGCAAUUAAUCGUCUAGGGAGAAUAGUAAACAUUUCUGACUCUUUUUAUUCCUCCCAACAACUUCACAGUAUAAAAAAAAGCAAGAUAACAAUGCAGGCUUGAAGUUGCUUAUCAGAAUUUUCAAGUACUCCGAGCGUUUAUCCUCAGUGAGAGCUGGAGGGAUCCAUUUCUAGAAUAUUAUUAUUGUCUGCCCUUUUAGCAAGAAACUGUCUUGCUGGUUUUGUUUAAUUAAACUGCUGCUGUCAAUUACUACCUGCAAAGAGCACGAGAGUAUGGAACAGUGAACUUCAGCAGGAGCUCAGCAGGCACCAGGGCGGUGUGAACUCCCUUUACACUCCCUGCACAUUUAUUGACAGUGGGAGGGUGGUUGCGAGAUAAAAUUCCUCAUUUCUGUUCAUUUCGCACUCCCUCCAAGGAAAUAGGAAUCAUCCGCGAUUGAUGCAGCACCAUUAAUGAAACAUCAGGAUUUCCAUCCCAAGUUGCCAUGUUUGCUCUAGUCCCAAGAGCUUUGUGUUUGUGGUCCUUUCCUGUUGUCCUGGUGCAGGCUUCCUCCCGCUCCUGGCACUCUAGUUCCAAUUCUGCAAGCAAGGUUUUAUUCCUGCUGGUUUGGUUUUUUUUCAGAAGGGGUCAGCUUUAUGCUUAGCUGUUUACCCAGGCUCUGGGGCCAGCGGCCACGUGAAGGUAGAGCAGUCCCGAAGCACAGGAAAACAAAGAGCUGUCCUUUCCGCCCGUACACCGUGUUCCCUUCAGCUCAGCUGGAGACUUCCUCGGGCAGCAAGAAGCCUCACCGCUGGGCUGCAGCCGAGUCUGGCAAGUGCUGCUGUGUGAAAAAUGACAAUCUGGUUUUUCUUUUAAACUGGCCACCAGCUGAGCGAUGGCUCCUAGUACUCAGGAGCUGAAAAGGUGUCCUCUGAUAAACUUCCUGGGCCAGCAGCAGCCUCUUGUACUCACUGCCGCUGUGCCCUGUAACCGAGGACUGCAGUUUGGUUAUGAGCUGUUCGGAAGUCCCCUCCCUUUUUCAAAGUCUCCCCUUUUUGGCCCCAAAACAAGUGUGAGCACAAGUGAGAGUGACGUAUAUGGGCUUAAAUUAAUUGGAUGCAAUCUCUGACCAAAAUAACUGCACUCAUGGGAUGAUACAACCAAAGCAGCUCCACCACCAAGACUUUUUUCUUUUGGGGAAUCUAAUUUUUCUUUAGGGAAUUCUUUUCAGAGAAGUUGAAGGCUUUGUGUGCUUUCCAAUGGCCAUCUAUUAAAGAUUGUUCUCUUCUCAGCUUGACCAUUGAGGAUAAACAACUCUGGGAGUGAGAAGAAAUGAAGACAUUCCAUCAUUUGCCUGCUGAACAAAACUGUUGUUUUCUAAAGAGCGCUAAUCAGCUACUGAGACACCUGAAAACAGACCCUUAUUUUCACCCAUUAUGAGCCUUUGCAGAGUGUGUCACAUCCUGUGCACUAAGAAGCUGUCAGCAAAGCAUUCAAAAUCGAGAGACCUCACCGGGGCCAUGUGACCACACAUUGUAAAUACAGACAUUUCUUUCAGCUUUUAAAGACAAAGUUCAAUUCAAGAAAUCUUUGUCUACAUGAUCAUGCAUUCAAGGAUCAACCUGAAGCCAAAAUAAAUUUGUUUCAUAUUAUAGCAUUUCCAUUACAAUAUUCAACAAGUAAGCAGGAUAGAUACUGCAGCACGCUCCUACAGUGGUGAAAGGGCUGUACUGGAAUCACUCUGUGUAAUUGUACUGGGAUAGUGGGGCAAAUUCACAGUCACCUCCAAGUUCCCUUCCAGCCCAUGGGAGAGCUGCAUAAAUAUUUGAGUGAGAUCUUCAGGGAGCUGAUCUGCCAUGGAGGUUGUCAUAAGUCUACUAAAGGAGAAUCUUCAGUCAUGGGUCUGAAAAAACAUAGAAAGGACUGCACUAAUCGAGCCAUGCCAAGAGUAUUGUUCAAGUAGUUAAAGACAGUGACAUAUGCCAAGUCUCAGAACCAACCACUUUGCUUUUCCUCUGAUAAAACUUGUAACAAGCCACUUUCCCCAUGUCUGAGGAGGAAAGCCGGGAUGGACCCCUGACCAUGAGAAAGGACCCACAGUGUCACUCUGUCCUUCCAUGAAAACCAAUUAAAAUUCCUUCAUAGGGAACACAACCUUUAGGUUGUGUUUUUUUCCAGCUGCCAUUAUAAAUAGUAGCAAGGGAAAAAAAAGUUUUUAAUUUGUGCAAAUGCUUUGACAAAGCUGCGCUUCAUCCUUGUAUAAAUAUUGCCCCUGUAACACUGCCAAGGAAUGGCCUUGAGGAUCUGCAGCCAAAACAACCAGACCUGCUCCUAUCUGAGUCCAUGAGACCUACGCAUAAUUCAUCUUGUGACUGGGAUUUCAGCUCUACCAAAACUGCCUACAAGCCCCUCCUGACUGGAAAUCCAGACUGCUGUUCCGUGACUUCUGUGCAGCAUUUCACGGGUGGCCAGGGCAAGUUUUGUAAGGAAAAAUACUUUUAUUAGACAAACUGACAAAGCUGGAGAGAAAGGGCAAGCUUUCAAAUAAGCAAUUCCUUUCUGAACAGUUGGACUUGUGUGCGUGGGUGCUUAUCUGUUCUUUUGCAGUAAUCCAAUAAAAGAUAAACUCUCUCCCCCUCGAAGCCAUUACCCCAUUAAACCCUAAACCAUCAUGACUGAAAUACUGUGGCUAACUGCAAAAAUGAUGAUGGAGAUAAGGAGAAGGGAAUCUGUUUAACUAAAGAGGGAUUAACUAUACAGAAUGAACAG